AUGACACAAAAUUAUCAGGAUUUGCUUACCUUAAUUACCAAUCACAUCACACAGAUUUGGCAGAAUCUUCAUAUUGAAGGAAAUGGUCUUAUUGAGGAGGUUCAAACUUUGCCAAAAGGCGCGGGAUUCUUUAUAAUUGAAUUGCUCGCUCCACUUAGUUGGAUUCAAGAUAAUGAUGGUCCUGUUAGGUUACUUUUUAGUUUUGAUAAUCUUUAUUGCAUUGGGUUCUUUAGAAAUGAAAAUUGGUUUAUCUUUAGUGAUCAUUACAAGGAUAUGAAGGAUGUUCUCGAAGGAACUAUAGCGAGACCUCUUAGUUUUUCUGGCAACUACAACAAGUUAAAUGCCGACUUCUUCAACAUCCAUCUAGGGGUUCAGGCUCUCUUUCAGACUUACAAAGGAAUAGCAGGUUAUCCUGGGUCCCUCAUCAAAGUUCCUCUAUUGACGAGUUGCAUUACCUUUUCAGAGCCUCUUAGAUUUCCAGCAUUUCGUCAGUACAUGAUCAGCAAAAUGUCGACGUAUGAUUCUCCUCCAGGAAGCAUUACGGAGUUUUCUAUUCAUUUUACAAAUUGGUCAAAUUAUUGUGACAUUAUUCGUGAAGGCAGGGCACAGUUCGAUCCUCUUAAUGCGUUUGGCAUACAAAGUUAUGAUGAUCUUUUGGGCCUUGUUGGGAUGAUACUGUAG
RNAcentral lists this ribosomal RNA (681 nucleotides) under Triticum aestivum (bread wheat). RNAcentral's name for it is "partial small subunit ribosomal RNA". The record is from RNAcentral. Lineage: Eukaryota; Viridiplantae; Streptophyta; Magnoliopsida; Poales; Poaceae.